This 80-nucleotide small RNA is filed under the name Flavobacterium sp. 5. RNAcentral describes it as "Flavo-1 RNA". It matches the Rfam family "Flavo-1 RNA". The record is from RNAcentral. Lineage: Bacteria; Pseudomonadati; Bacteroidota; Flavobacteriia; Flavobacteriales; Flavobacteriaceae.
CUUUAGCCCCGAUAGAAGUGAAAAUCCUUUUUAUUUUUUCUUUAAAAAUAAAAAGAUUGCAACGAAUAGCGGGUAGUAUG